Molecule: long non-coding RNA, 1469 nt
Organism: Peromyscus eremicus (cactus mouse)
Lineage: Eukaryota; Metazoa; Chordata; Mammalia; Rodentia; Cricetidae
Exons: 4
Source: RefSeq, a predicted model, not a curated record
GUAGAUCUCUGCUUCCGCUUCCCUCAGUCAUUGGAUGAGAGUUCUAGCACGACAGUUAGGGUGUUUGGCCAUCCUAUCACCAGAGUAGAUGGGGCCUAUUGGACAGAAGGUUAUACUGCACGGCACACUGAAGCUCCUGAUGGCACCAGGAUGAAUGAAGAGAUAUUGGAAAGAUAGAGGAGAAUUUUUUUCUCCCAUGGCACAUCUUUUGUGCUGUAAUAUUGAAGACAAUGAUGUCCUGAAAAUCAAAGCCAAUCUGAGAGAAAUAGUUAAAUGGAUUGUCAAAGACUGACCAGCAUAUCCUAUGCAAAGAGAAAGGACAGAACCACAUACCCAUCUUCCAUGGCAAUUACCGCAGAGGAGGUAAAAUGCAGAAGUAGAAAUGAAGGCUUUCAAGGAUGAGUGGGCACUGAAAAUUGGUAAAGUGGCAGGAAAGUCCAAGUUAUGGAGAGAAGAGAAAAAUGUGUAUAGGAAAAGGAGUUUGGUAAACAGGGAGGAAAAAAUGAUAUUUUGCAGAAACAUCUGUUUGCUGUUGCUGAAAUUUUCGCCUUUAAAUGUUCUAGUUUGGGCUCUGAAGUUAGCACUUCCCUGGAGUGGUUCACACCUUUGCUAUUGCUCCUGCUCAGUUACAGAUCAUUUUAUGCAAGGCUGAUUUUAACAAGAAAAUGAUGCAUUAAUUUACAACGUGCUGAGUAUUUUAAAAGUGGCAAAAUCUAGGCUUUUGUGAAAUUUUAGAAUCUGGAAAAAUAGAAAUACUUAUGUAAAGCUCUUUAAAAUAUCAGAAUGGCUUCAUGCACAAGAAAUUAUACCCUGAUUAAAAUCAUUAUAAAAUUCAGUUAUACAAAAUACAUCAACCUCCACUAAUCAUUUUUUUUCUGUCAUUUUAGAGUUUCUUUUCAGACAUGCAGCCUGUACAACCUCAGACAUUACUGAACUAUAAAUUUAUUAAUAUUCUUAUACAUUUAACCCAUCCUGUAUCUAUUCUUACACCCUUUUCUCUGCUUCACUUUCAUUUCUUUUUCUUUCCCUUUGUUUCCCCUCCUUUGUAUCUGAAUCUCAUUUGUUUAAACCAUGAGGAUUGUGUCGCUAUUAAAGGUUUAUCUUAAUGGACGGAUUAGAUACCUCAGUUGGUAAAGUGCUUGCCAUGUGGACUUGGAGGUCUGAGUUCAAUCAACAAACCCCACAUAAAGGGCCAGACAUUUUCAUACAGACUUAUAAUCCUAGAUCUGGGAAGGCAGUGGUAUGUGGCUCUCUGGUACUCAGUGGCCAGCCAUACUUGACUACUCCAUAAAUUCCAGAUCAAAAAGAACCACUGUCAAAUCUUUGAAGGCUAACUACAGAGAAAGAGUAACUUAGAUGGAUAGCUGGUCACUUUACAUGGGCACAUGAGAACAUGAAUGUACACCCGCAGGCAAACACAUAAACAUACAUACAAACAUGUGUGCACACUAGAACACACACACACACAC